AACUGAGGUAGAGGUGCAGAAUUUAAGAGUAGAGUUGAGGAGUUAAGCACUAUGAUACAACUUGAAAGGAAAUUUUGCCGAAGUUAUUUAGCAGAUGCUUUAAUGCUAAAUAAUUGGGUUUACAUAAAAUAUAUGUAAAACUGUCACAAGGUUAAUUUGUGGAGAGCUAUCAUUCGU
RNAcentral lists this non-coding RNA (177 nucleotides) under Clostridium autoethanogenum. RNAcentral describes it as "Lysine sequence". It matches the Rfam family "Lysine riboswitch aptamer". From Rfam's summary of the family: Riboswitches are metabolite binding domains within certain messenger RNAs that serve as precision sensors for their corresponding targets. Allosteric rearrangement of mRNA structure is mediated by ligand binding, and this results in modulation of gene expression. This family includes riboswitches that sense lysine in a number of genes involved in lysine metabolism, including lysC. The record is from RNAcentral. Lineage: Bacteria; Bacillati; Bacillota; Clostridia; Eubacteriales; Clostridiaceae.